CCUACGGGAGGCAGUAGUGAGGAAUAUCGGUCAAUGGGCGCGAGCCUGAACCAGCCAAGUCGCGUGAGGGAAGACGGCCCUACGGGUUGUAAACCUCUUUUGCCGGGGAGCAACGGGCGCCACGUGUGGCGCCACUGAGAGUACCCGGAGAAAAAGCAUCGGCUAACUCCGUGCCAGCAGCCGCGGUAAUACGGAGGAUGCGAGCGUUAUCCGGAUUUAUUGGGUUUAAAGGGUGCGUAGGCGGAGCGUUAAGUCAGUGGUAAAAUUGAGGGGCUCAACCCCUUCCCGCCAUUGAAACUGGCGCUCUUGAGUGGAAGAGAAGUAUGCGGAAUGCGUGGUGUAGCGGUUAAAGGCAUAGAUAUCACGCAGAACCCCGAUUGCGAAGGCAGCAUGCCGGCUUCCGACUGACGCUGAAGCACGAAAGCGUGGGGAUCGAACAGGAUUAGAUAUCCGUGUAGUC
This 460-nucleotide ribosomal RNA is filed under the name uncultured bacterium. RNAcentral describes it as "partial 16S ribosomal RNA". It matches the Rfam family "Bacterial small subunit ribosomal RNA", at positions 338 to 795 of the family's 1533-position model. The record is from RNAcentral.